RNAcentral lists this long non-coding RNA (207 nucleotides) under Hordeum vulgare. Its description in RNAcentral is "long non-coding RNA (HVUL_LNC013260)". The record is from RNAcentral. Lineage: Eukaryota; Viridiplantae; Streptophyta; Magnoliopsida; Poales; Poaceae.
GCUAGGGUUGGGGAGAGGUGGAGGUGGGGGGGGUUUAUAUAGGCUUAGGGGAGGAGAGUAGAAAGGAAGGAGAGGGAGAACUUUGGGAAGGAGAUCAUGGGAGAGAAAAAUAGGAAAGAGAGGGAGGAGAAAAAAAGGAAGAGAGAAAUAAGGAAAAGGGAGAGAAAAUAGGAAAAAGUAGACGUGGGGAGGGAGAGAAGAAAAAAA